Molecule: ribosomal RNA, 473 nt
Filed under: uncultured Desulfobulbus sp.
Lineage: Bacteria; Pseudomonadati; Thermodesulfobacteriota; Desulfobulbia; Desulfobulbales; Desulfobulbaceae
Description: bacterial SSU rRNA
Rfam family: Bacterial small subunit ribosomal RNA
Source: RNAcentral
GACGGGGCCGCACAAGCGGUGGAGUAUGUGGUUUAAUUCGAUGCAACGCGAAGAACUUUACCUGGUCUUGACAUCCCGGAGACCCUUAGGAAACUAGGGGGUGCUUCCAUCUGGAAGAAUCUGGAGACAGGUGCUGCAUGGCUGUCGUCAGCUCGUGUCGUGAGAUGUUGGGUUAAGUCCCGCAACGAGCGCAACCCUUGCCUUAGUUGCCAGCAGUUCGGCUGGGCACUCUAAAGGGACUGCCGGUGUUAAACCGGAGGAAGGUGGGGAUGACGUCAAGUCCUCAUGGCCUUUAUGACCAGGGCUACACACGUACUACAAUGGCCGAUACAAAGAGCAGCGACACUGCGAGGUGAAGCCAAUCCCGUAAAAUCGGUCUCAGUCCGGAUUGGAGUCUGCAACUCGACUCCAUGAAGUUGGAAUCGCUAGUAAUCGUGGAUCAGCAUGCCACGGUGAAUACGUUCCCGGGCCUU